UACGUAGGCAGCGAGCGUUGUUCGGAGUUACUGGGCGUAAAGCGUGCGUAGGCGGUUUUCUAAGUCUGGUGUGAAAUCUCCCGGCUCAACUGGGAGGGUGCGCCGGAUACUGGGAAGCUGGAGUACCGGAGAGGUAGGCGGAAUUCCUGGUGUAGCGGUGAAAUGCGUAGAUAUCAGGAGGAACACCUGUGGUGUAGACGGCCUGCUGGACGGUGACUGACGCUGAGGCACGAAAGCGUGGGGAGCAAACAGG
This 253-nucleotide ribosomal RNA is filed under the name uncultured bacterium. Its description in RNAcentral is "partial 16S ribosomal RNA". It matches the Rfam family "Bacterial small subunit ribosomal RNA", at positions 524 to 776 of the family's 1533-position model. The record is from RNAcentral.